UAAGACGAACCGUGCGAACGUUGUUCGGAAUCACUGGGCUUAAAGGGCGCGUAGGCGGUCGGGCAAGUCCGGGGUGAAAUCCUGCAGCUUAACUGUAGAAGUGCCUUGGAUACUGCCCGGCUCGAGGGAGGUAGGGGUCUGUGGAACUUCUGGUGGAGCGGUGAAAUGCGUUGAUAUCAGAAGGAACGCCGGUGGCGAAAGCGACAGACUGGACCUCUUCUAACGCUGAGGCGCGAAAGCUAGGGGAGCAAACGG
Molecule: ribosomal RNA, 255 nt
Filed under: uncultured prokaryote
Description: partial 16S ribosomal RNA
Rfam family: Bacterial small subunit ribosomal RNA
Source: RNAcentral